Molecule: ribosomal RNA, 724 nt
Filed under: uncultured cyanobacterium
Lineage: Bacteria; Bacillati; Cyanobacteriota
Description: bacterial SSU rRNA
Rfam family: Bacterial small subunit ribosomal RNA
Source: RNAcentral
AGGAUGCAGCGUUAUCGGAAUUAUUGGGCGUAAAGCGUCCGCAGGUGGCAAUUCAAGUCUGCUGUCAAAGGUUCUGGCUCAACCAGAAACAGGCAGUGGAAACUGAAUAGCUAGAGUGCGGUAGGGGCAGAGGGAAUUCCCAGUGUAGCGGUGAAAUGCGUAGAGAUUGGGAAGAACACCGGUGGCGAAAGCGCUCUGCUAGGCCGUAACUGACACUCAUGGACGAAAGCUAGGGGAGCGAAUGGGAUUAGAUACCCCAGUAGUCCUAGCCGUAAACGAUGGAUACUAGGCGUUGCUCGCAUCGACCCGAGCAGUGCCGUAGCUAACGCGUCAAGUAUCCCGUCCUGGGGAGUACGCGCGCAAAGCCGUGAACUCAAAGGAAUUGACGGGGGCCCGCACAAGCGGUGGAGUAUGUGGUUUAAUUCGAUGCAACGCGAAGAACCUUACCAGGACUUGACAUGUCGCGAAUCUUUGGGAAACUAAAGAGUGCCUUCGGGAGCGCGAACACAGGUGGUGCAUGGCUGUCGUCAGCUCGUGUCGUGAGGUGUUGGGUUAAGUCCCGCAACGAGCGCAACCCUCGUUCUUAGUUGCCAGCAUUAAGUUGGGCACUCUAGGGAGACUGCCGGUGAUAAACCGGAGGAAGGUGGGGAUGACGUCAAGUCAGCAUGCCCCUUACGUCCUGGGCUACACACGUACUACAAUGCUACGGACAAAGGGUCGCAAG